UGCCCAAGAGAUCGGGAUAACACCUGGAAACAGAUGCUAAUACCGGAUAACAACAGAUGAUGCCUAUCAACUGUUUAAAAGAUGUUCUGCUAUCACUCUUGGAUGGACCUGCGGUGCAUUAGCUAGUUGGUAGGGUAACGGCCUACCAAGGCGAUGAUGCAUAGCCGAGUUGAGAGACUGAUCGGCCACAUUGGGACUGAGACACGGCCCAAACUCCUACGGGAGGCAGCAGCC
Molecule: ribosomal RNA, 234 nt
Filed under: uncultured Lactobacillus sp.
Lineage: Bacteria; Bacillati; Bacillota; Bacilli; Lactobacillales; Lactobacillaceae
Description: partial 16S ribosomal RNA
Rfam family: Bacterial small subunit ribosomal RNA
Source: RNAcentral